UAUCCUACGGGAGGCAGCAGUGGGGGAUAUUGCACAAUGGGGGGAACCCUGAUGCAGCGACGCCGCGUGGGUGAAGAAGCGCCUCGGCGCGUAAAGCCCUGUCAGCAGGGAAGAAAAUGACGGUACCUGAAGAAGAAGCCCCGGCUAACUACGUGCCAGCAGCCGCGGUAAUACGUAGGGGGCGAGCGUUAUCCGGAUUUACUGGGUGUAAAGGGAGCGUAGACGGCUGGUCAAGUCUGAAGUGAAAGCCCGGGGCUUAACCCCGGAACGGCUUUGGAAACUGAGCAGCUAGAGUGCUGGGAGGG
Molecule: ribosomal RNA, 305 nt
Filed under: uncultured bacterium
Lineage: Bacteria
Description: bacterial SSU rRNA
Rfam family: Bacterial small subunit ribosomal RNA
Source: RNAcentral